This is a long non-coding RNA of Psammomys obesus (fat sand rat), 804 nucleotides long. RefSeq lists it as uncharacterized. Lineage: Eukaryota; Metazoa; Chordata; Mammalia; Rodentia; Muridae. The transcript has 2 exons. The record is from RefSeq and is a predicted model, not a curated record.
CAAGGGUCAAUGUAAGAGGUGCACAAUCUCUACAGGGCACAGAACUGGCUAAAUCCACCCUUCUGGGAAUGCUGGGCUCUGAAAAUGAUGCGUCAAAUGAAGCCUCAGUGCCAAGCUGCUCCUUGGCCUUCUGUUCCUCUUCAGCUCUUCAUUCUGGCCUAAUAGAAACCUUAUGAACCGGAACUUCUUCUACAAGGCUAACAAACCAAUCAAGAGCCUCAUUCCAGAAGUCCUGCCCUAUACCAGAGAAAAAGAAUGCUACGAGGGACUCAGAAGGUUCUGAACAGGCUUGGCUGGGUUUCCCACUUGGUCUGUUAACAAUAACUAACACCAUUCACUUUGGUAUCUUACUGUCUCUAUUUUAUUGAGUCUAAGUAUAAAAAUGGAUGUUCAAUCUGUGGCUAGGAGUCCUAGUAUGAACCUUGUGCCUGCAAAACUUUCAUUACAUCAGUGUCUUAGCCUUUCUCUUGUUAAACUGUAAUUUGUUGCAGUAAUUUGUUGUGACUACUGAGACUGACCGGCAUGAAGUGAUUGCCCACUCCUCCCUGCUGGAAAGAUAAUGCCAGGUCUCAGGUCUGUGGGGCUGUCUCAGGUCUAUAGGUUGUGCACUCAGUGAAUUGUAACUCAUUUCACUCAUUUUUCCUAUUGAGAAGAGUUGAUGUUAACAUUCAAGACUAUUGGAUUAAUUUACCCUUCUAAAUAGGACCACACAGUGUUGAUAUAUCCAUAGUACUGCCUGUCUUCCUCCAAACACCCCCUUUGUCAACAGAGCAGUUUUAUUCUAAUAAAAUGAUUGUCACUCAA